RNAcentral lists this ribosomal RNA (253 nucleotides) under uncultured bacterium. RNAcentral describes it as "partial 16S ribosomal RNA". It matches the Rfam family "Bacterial small subunit ribosomal RNA", at positions 524 to 776 of the family's 1533-position model. The record is from RNAcentral.
UACGUAGGGGGCUAGCGUUGUCCGGAAUCAUUGGGCGUAAAGAGCGUGUAGGCGGCCCGGUAAGUCCGCUGUAAAAGUCAAAGGCUCAACCUUUGAAUGUCAGUGGAUACUGCCGGGCUAGAGUCCGGAAGAGGCGAGUGGAACUCUUGGUGUAGCGGUGGAAUGCGCAGAUAUCAGGAAGAACACCAACGGCGAAGGCAGCUCGCUGGGACGGUACUGACGCUGAGACGCGAAAGCGUGGGGAGCGAACAGG